This 301-nucleotide ribosomal RNA is filed under the name uncultured bacterium. RNAcentral describes it as "partial 16S ribosomal RNA". It matches the Rfam family "Bacterial small subunit ribosomal RNA", at positions 509 to 809 of the family's 1533-position model. The record is from RNAcentral.
CAGUCGCCGCGGUAAUACGAAGGGGGCUAGCGUUGUUCGGAAUUACUGGGCGUAAAGCGCACGUAGGCGGACAUUUAAGUCAGGGGUGAAAUCCCGGGGCUCAACCCCGGAACUGCCUUUGAUACUGGGUGUCUAGAGUAUGGAAGAGGUGAGUGGAAUUCCGAGUGUAGAGGUGAAAUUCGUAGAUAUUCGGAGGAACACCAGUGGCGAAGGCGGCUCACUGGUCCAUUACUGACGCUGAGGUGCGAAAGCGUGGGGAGCAAACAGGAUUAGAUACCCCUGUAGUCCCUGUCUCUUAUCC